GAAUUUCGGUUAUCGAUGGGGAUGCGUUCCAUUAGUUUGUUGGCGGGGUAACGGCCCACCAAGACUACGAUGGAUAGGGGUUCUGAGAGGAAGGUCCCCCACAUUGGAACUGAGACACGGUCCAAACUCCUACGGGAGGCAGCAGUGAGGAAUAUUGGUCAAUGGGCGAGAGCCUGAACCAGCCAAGUAGCGUGAAGGAUGAAGGCUCUAUGGGUCGUAAACUUCUUUUAUAUGGGAAUAAAGUUUUCCACGUGUGGAAUUUUGUAUGUACCAUAUGAAUAAGGAUCGGCUAACUCCGUGCCAGCAGCCGCGGUAAUACGGAGGAUCCGAGCGUUAUCCGGAUUUAUUGGGUUUAAAGGGAGCGUAGGUGGAUUGUUAAGUCAGUUGUGAAAGUUUGCGGCUCAACCGUAAAAUUGCAGUUGAAACUGGCAGUCUUGAGUACAGUAGAGGUGGGCGGAAUUCGUGGUGUAGCGGUGAAAUGCUUAGAUAUCACGAAGAACUCCGAUUGCGAAGGCAGCUCACUAGACUGUCACUGACACUGAUGCUCGAAAGUGUGGGUAUCAAACAGGAUUAGAUACCCUGGUAGUCCACACAGUAAACGAUGAAUACUCGCUGUUUGCGAUAUACAGCAAGCGGCCAAGCGAAAGCAUUAAGUAUUCCACCUGGGGAGUACGCCGGCAACGGUGAAACUCAAAGGAAUUGACGGGGGCCCGCACAAGCGGAGGAACAUGUGGUUUAAUUCGAUGAUACGCGAGGAACCUUACCCGGGCUUAAAUUGCAACAGAAUAUAUUGGAAACAGUAUAGCCGUAAGGCUGUUGUGAAGGUGCUGCAUGGUUGUCGUCAGCUCGUGCCGUGAGGUGUCGGCUUAAGUGCCAUAACGAGCGCAACCCUUAUCUUUAGUUACUAACAGGUCAUGCUGAGGACUCUAGAGAGACUGCCGUCGUAAGAUGUGAGGAAGGUGGGGAUGACGUCAAAUCAGCACGGCCCUUACGUCCGGGGCUACACACGUGUUACAAUGGGGGGUACAGAAGGCGGCUACCUGGUGACAGGA
RNAcentral lists this ribosomal RNA (1052 nucleotides) under Bacteroides ovatus. RNAcentral describes it as "bacterial SSU rRNA". It matches the Rfam family "Bacterial small subunit ribosomal RNA", at positions 210 to 1265 of the family's 1533-position model. Lineage: Bacteria; Pseudomonadati; Bacteroidota; Bacteroidia; Bacteroidales; Bacteroidaceae. The record is from RNAcentral.